CAGCAGCCGCGGGAAAACGGAGGGGGCUAGCGUUGUUCGGAAUUACUGGGCGUAAAGCGCACGUAGGCGGCUUGGUAAGUUAGAGGUGAAAGCCUGGAGCUCAACUCCAGAAUUGCCUUUAAGACUGCCGAGCUAGCAGGUGAGAGAGGUAAGUGGAAUUCCGAGUGUAGAGGUGAAAUUCGUAGAUAUUCGGAAGAACACCAGUGGCGAAGGCGGCUUACUGGCUCAUACUGGACGCUGAGGUGCGAAAGCGUGGGGAGCAAACAGGAUUAGAUACCCGUGUAGUCCCUGUCUCUUAUAC
RNAcentral lists this ribosomal RNA (301 nucleotides) under uncultured bacterium. RNAcentral describes it as "partial 16S ribosomal RNA". It matches the Rfam family "Bacterial small subunit ribosomal RNA", at positions 509 to 807 of the family's 1533-position model. The record is from RNAcentral.